RNAcentral lists this ribosomal RNA (661 nucleotides) under Salmonella enterica. RNAcentral describes it as "bacterial LSU rRNA". It matches the Rfam family "Bacterial large subunit ribosomal RNA", at positions 1 to 677 of the family's 2925-position model. Lineage: Bacteria; Pseudomonadati; Pseudomonadota; Gammaproteobacteria; Enterobacterales; Enterobacteriaceae. The record is from RNAcentral. RNAcentral also lists the same sequence under 5 other names.
GGGUUGUGAGGUUAAGCGACUAAGCGUACACGGUGGAUGCCCUGGCAGUCAGAGGCGAUGAAGGACGUGCUAAUCUGCGAUAAGCGCCGGUAAGGUGAUAUGAACCGUUAUAACCGGCGAUUUCCGAAUGGGGAAACCCAGUGUGACUCGUCACACUAUCAUUAACUGAAUCCAUAGGUUAAUGAGGCGAACCGGGGGAACUGAAACAUCUAAGUACCCCGAGGAAAAGAAAUCAACCGAGAUUCCCCCAGUAGCGGCGAGCGAACGGGGAUGAGCCCAGAGCCUGAAUCAGCAUGUGUGUUAGUGGAAGCGUCUGGAAAGGCGCGCGAUACAGGGUGACAGCCCCGUACACAAAAGCGCAUAUGCUGUGAGCUCGAUGAGUAGGGCGGGACACGUGGUAUCCUGUCUGAAUAUGGGGGGACCAUCCUCCAAGGCUAAAUACUCCUGACUGACCGAUAGUGAACCAGUACCGUGAGGGAAAGGCGAAAAGAACCCCGGCGAGGGGAGUGAAAAAGAACCUGAAACCGUGUACGUACAAGCAGUGGGAGCCCCACCACUAAGCCAGUGGUGAACUCCACAUACGCAUCCUUUGCUGAGGAUGCGGUUAACGGAGCGAAAGCGACGUUCAACCGCAAAAGAAGCAGAGGGGGCUUAGUGGUGG